Molecule: ribosomal RNA, 504 nt
Filed under: Cassida rubiginosa
Lineage: Eukaryota; Metazoa; Arthropoda; Insecta; Coleoptera; Chrysomelidae
Description: partial 16S ribosomal RNA
Rfam family: Bacterial large subunit ribosomal RNA
Source: RNAcentral
GUCUUCUUGAUUAUAAUUUGAAGUCUGACCUGCUCUAUGAUUUUUAAAUGGCCGCAGUAUUUUGACUGUGCUAAGGUAGCAUAAUAAUUAGUUUCUUAAUUAGAAGCUUGUAUGAAUGGUUUGAUGAGAAAACUGCUUUCUUAUAAUUAAUUUUUUGAAUUUUAUCUUUAAGUUAAAAAGCUUAAAUUUAUUUAGGGGACGAGAAGACCCUUUAGAAUUUUAUAUAAUUUAAAGUUAAUUUUUUUUUGGAAUUAAGUAAUUAAUUUAAAAUUGUAUUUAGUUGGGGUGACUGAAAAAUUUAGUUAACUUUUUUUAUUUUUUACAUUAUAAAAGGUUUUAUGAUCCGUUAAACGAUUAUAAGAAAAAAUUACCUAAGGGAUAACAGCGUUAUAAUUUUUUAGAGUUCUUAUCGAAAAAAUUGAUUGCGACCUCGAUGUUGGAUUAGAAUUUCUUCUAGGUGCAGAAGCUUAGGGAGAGGGUCUGUUCGACCCUUAAAUUUCUACA